UACGUAGGAGGCGAGCGUUGUCCGGAGUUACUGGGCGUAAAGGGCGCGUAGGCGGUUAUAUAAGUGAGAUGUGAAAUCCCUGGGCUUAACCUAGGAACUGCAUCUCAUACUGUAUGACUGGAGUAUUGUAGAGGGUAGUGGAAUUUCCGGUGUAGCGGUGAAAUGCGUAGAGAUCGGAAGGAACACCAGUGGCGAAGGCGGCUACCUGGACAAAUACUGACGCUGAGGCGCGAGAGCGUGGGGGAGCAAACAGG
This 254-nucleotide ribosomal RNA is filed under the name uncultured bacterium. RNAcentral's name for it is "partial 16S ribosomal RNA". It matches the Rfam family "Bacterial small subunit ribosomal RNA", at positions 524 to 776 of the family's 1533-position model. The record is from RNAcentral.